This 291-nucleotide ribosomal RNA is filed under the name uncultured bacterium. RNAcentral describes it as "partial 16S ribosomal RNA". It matches the Rfam family "Bacterial small subunit ribosomal RNA", at positions 28 to 333 of the family's 1533-position model. The record is from RNAcentral.
GACGAACGCUGGCGGCGUGCCUAAUGCAUGCAAGUCGCACGCAGGUGCCUUCGGGUGCCUGAGUGGCGCACGGCUGAGGACCACGUGGGAACAUGCCUCCUUGUGGGGGACAACACCGCGAAAGCGGUGCUAAUCCCGCAUACGCUCUUGCUACAAGAGGAAAGCGUGCAAACGCGCAGGGAGAGUGGCCCGCGGCCCAUCAGGUCGUCGGUGGGGAACGGCCUACCGAGCCAAUGACGGGUAGCUGGUCUGUGAGGACAGACAGCCAGACUGGGACUGAGACACGGCCCA